UGGAUCUUUCAAUUCGCUUCGGAGUGCGGGUGGCCGCGGCCGUUAAAUCUUUAUUCAAAGGUUGACCUCGGAUCAGGUAGGGAUACCCGCUGAACUUAAGCA
This 102-nucleotide ribosomal RNA is filed under the name Pseudocercospora fijiensis. RNAcentral's name for it is "partial 28S ribosomal RNA". Lineage: Eukaryota; Fungi; Ascomycota; Dothideomycetes; Mycosphaerellales; Mycosphaerellaceae. The record is from RNAcentral.